Molecule: long non-coding RNA, 1101 nt
Filed under: Nicotiana benthamiana
Lineage: Eukaryota; Viridiplantae; Streptophyta; Magnoliopsida; Solanales; Solanaceae
Description: long non-coding RNA (NBEN_LNC026289)
Source: RNAcentral
GCUAACUAUGCUAGGCUGGACAGUUACGAUCAUCAUCAGAACCCAAUGCAUAAACCUCAUCAAUGUUAGCAGCAUGGACCAACAAUAUAUUUUCUCUAGAGCACUGACAUUAUCAAAGGAAACAACCUGCCAAGUAAGACAAAGUUAAACAAAUUAUUAUUACAAUACCAAAAAAGGGGGGUCUUGAUUCAAUAUACUAAAAUAGAGACAUCAAAUUGGCCUAAGGUUCGGAAUACAAGGGGGUCUUGAUUAAAUAUACUAAAAUAGAGACAUCAAAUUGGCCUAAGGUUCAGAAUACAUAACAUGAAAAAUAAAACUAUAAGCAUAAGACUUGCAAUAAUUACUUUACGUUCAUUUUGCUUUAAGCACACAUAGGUAAAAUCCAUACAAAGAAUCAAUGCGUCAAAAGUUUCUUUCCAGUAUCAAGUCAAGUGCCCACAGAAGGGAAAAAGAAAACAAGCUCAUCUUAGAUUUAGGUACUCAAAUAAUAGCCGAUAAAGAAAGGUUCUACCCUGUCCCUAUCUUAUGUGCCGCGUAACUUUUUCCUAAUUAGUAUUGAUCAGUGGCGGAUCUACACAUGAAAAAGAAAACAAGCUCAUCAUAGAUUUAGGUACUCAAAUAAUAGCCGAUAAAGAAAGGUUCUACUUCUGGAGUUCGGCCCCUGUUAACGGAAAGGGGAUCAGCUGAAUCCCUGAAACGCCACUCUACUUCUUGAGAUUCAAUCCCGACCGAAUAUGAAUAGUAAUUCGUUUACUCUCUAUUCAUUUUAAUUGAUGUUGGGGUUUUUCUUCAACUGCAUCUAUCUGGGCUUCUCAGUAUUCAGUUCUGCGGGUCCUGCUUCCUCUGAGAACGAACAAACGAAGAAAAGUGGGCGUAGGUGAGGCCACAGAAACAUGGUCUACAUCCAUAGAUUCGUACUGAUUUUUGCUCUUGUUCUUUCCCUCAAAGUGUGGCUUCUACUAAUUGUACUCCCAUCCGCCUAGUUUUGCUCCCAUAGAGUUUCUAUUUACAAAGGCGGAUGUUUUACCUAUGUGUGCCCUAGGUUAAAUUAUUAAGAGGUAUUUAGCGACGGAUUUAGCUAUGCCUCCAUUUCGUUCGCCA